Molecule: long non-coding RNA, 2691 nt
Organism: Marmota monax (woodchuck)
Lineage: Eukaryota; Metazoa; Chordata; Mammalia; Rodentia; Sciuridae
Exons: 6
Source: RefSeq, a predicted model, not a curated record
UGAGGCAGGCACCUAGAAAACGCGGGCGGCGGGCGGGCGGACAGGCGCCGGAGCCGGAUUGGCGAGGAAGAGACGCGAUCGGCGGCACUCUCUCGCCUGCCCUGGAGGAGGAGGGAAAACCCGGCCUGACUCACUGGCGCGCGGCAAGCCCAGAGCCCAGCCCCGGCCCCGGCCCCGGCCCCCGGAUGUGGGGGGCGGGGACGGGGGGACAGCGCCCGCCCACCGGUAAUCCAACCUGAGCCCCGCCCCAAGUCGGGGCUCACAGACCAGUACUGAUCUGCUGGGGCCUAGGGUCCCUUAGCAGCUGUGCACCGCUGGGCUGCCACCUCUGGGCGCGCCGGCUCCGACCCGGUGGGUUCGAAGCCUCAAGCACCGCCGAGGCCCCAGAAGUCUCCUGGCCAGCUCGCCCGCUCCUCCUCCUCCAGUUCCUCCUGUCCUCACCCGCCUUUCUCUCUCUUGCCAGAACUAAACAGCUUCGGGAGAGGCUCGUUGGGUCCAUCACCUCUCUGAUCCUUGCCGCCUCCUAUCAGGGUCUAACUGAGUUGCUUAGGGCCUCACUAAGUUGGUGAAGCUGGCUUUGAACUCAUGAUCCUCCUGCCUCAGCCUCCUGAGCCACUGGAUUACAGGCAUGCUGGCACUAGCCCUGGUUUCUUGAACACUGCGCCUGGAGGGAUUAACAAACUGAGAUCAUCUUGGUUCAUACUUAGGGCAUGAUGUUUUCUGGAGCACCUGGAUGACUCAAAGCCUUGACUACAGCUCAGGUUCAGUCUUCUAAAUGCUUCACCACCUCCCAAUAGCUCCACAGGCUGAGGACCAAGCAUUCAAUACAGAGCCCUUUGGAGGACAUCCCAUACCCAAACUAUAGCAGCCCAGCAGCUUUUCUCAGAACGCAAGCACACACACGCCAUGGCUGAGUGUCUGCUGGGUAGAUGCUGGGGAAACAGGAAAAUGACCUUUGGGAGACCUCAGUUGUAGAUGGAUGGAGCUGAGGAUCAAAACCAGUGCCUCGAAUGUGCUAGGCAAGCACUUUGCCACUGAGCUACAGCCCCAGCCCUUCAACCCUUCUGGAACGAGUGCAUUUUCUGCUGUUGCUCUCACCUUGGACAUCAGACUCCAGAUUCUUCAGCCUUUGAACACGGGCUUGCACCAGAGGCUCCCCAGAGUGUUGCAGGACUCCAGGUGUGGACUGGGACUGCAUCAUUGGUCCCUCUUAUUCUGAGGCUUCCACUUUCUUGGAUUGGUUUCCCCAGCUUUCCAGCCUACAGAUGACCACUAUGGGACUAUUCAGCCUCUGAUCAUGUGAGCAAUCUAAUAAAUCCACCUCUAAGACACAGCAUGGUGGCACAUACCUAUAGUGCCAACUACUUAGGAGUCUGAGAUAGGAGGAUCACUUGAGGCCAGUCUGGGCAACAUAGCAAGGUACUGUCUCAAAAAAAAAAAAUCACCCCAUCUUAUAAUUAUAUGUAAUCUGUUGGUUCUGUUCCCUAGAGAACCAUGAUUAAUACAAAACACUAGGAAGUAGAUCCUAUCCUUGCUCUCAGAAGUCAUCUAGGAUGGGUCCUUAGCAGGAAGACAUGCCUCGGAAGAGUGGCAGAGGGUAAAUGAUGAUAAGUCCUUUGCCCUUGAACUGGCCUAUCCUUUGAGACCACCAGUGUUUUCAAGACACAUUGGCUGAAAUUCAUACAUAACAUUUUCUCUCACAAUCUACGUGUUAUUCAAAAAUUGAGUCAAACCUAUUUCUUUUUCUUUUUCUUUUUUUUUUUUUUUUGAGAUUCCUAAACAGGGCUCCAAGCUAUCCUCCUGCCUCAGCUUCCCAAGUAGCUGAUGCUGCAAGUGCAGACCACAACCUUGGCUUCAAAUCUGUCUUAUCAAAUUACAUUAUGAAAUAUUUAUCAUUACUCUUAUGUCAUCUUAUAAAAUGUUCAAUAUUUUCUAUUUAUUAUAACAAAGAAUAUGCCAAUUCCAGAUUAAUAUUUUUAGUAGUAAAUACCUCAAUAAAUGAUGCUCUCUAUAUUUAAGAAAUAUUUAUAGCUAUUCAUUCAAAUACAAAGUUUUAAAAAGGGCUGAUGGUGUAGUUCAGUCAUGGAGCAAACCUGUGUUCAAUCCCCAAUAUGGCAAAAUAAGCAAAUGAACCAUCUUGCUGCUUGAGGAGGGUGCUGGUGUUCUCUCUCUGAGAUAAAGAAAAGAGGCUUUGUAUGGUAAGUCAGUUUCCCAAGGAUAUGAGAGUUUUUUUCAGAACUGGGACUUGCUGCGCUGGUCUUGCUUGAAAGGUUGAAGCUACAUGAGCUAGAAAAGCUAGACUUCUUUUAUUAUGUUGGGAAAACAACCUAUAGGAUUGUUACUUCUGGGAUUCCUGAGAUAUAUAUGGUGAUCUGUUUGAUGGUGUCCCUAGAUUCCUUAGAAUCUGUUCACUUUUCUUCAAUUGUUUUUCUUUCUGUUCCUCAUACACAAUAGUUUGUAUUCAAACUAUUCAAAUUCAUAUAUUCUUUCCCCUGCUAAUUUAAAUGUUCCUUUGAAUUCUUUGAAAUCUUUUCUGGCAGUUUUCAUUUCAGUUAGUGUACUUUUCAAUUCUGGAAUUUUUUUGUUUUCCUUUUUGGAUUUUUCUUUUUUGAUAUCUCCAUUUUGUUUGUAUAUAAUUUUCUUAACUUUCUCCUUUAGUUCCUCCUUCUUCCCAGGGGCGCUUUACCACUG